AUAACCAUCCGCACAGGCUACAUAAUGGGAUAAUUAAGAGGUCAAUAUACACAGUAUAUGCAUAACUCACGUGCCUGUUUAUAGAGUGCAUUGAAAAUGUUCUUGUUUUUAAAGUUUCUGCCAUGAGAGUGACCGAAGAUAGAGAAGAUAAAAUUAUUAGCACUAGAAUGUUCAUUACACAAAGAUCCUGGCGAUAUGGCGAGUUAUUGGCUAAUGCUACCUGUCCGUAAGCUAAUAUGCAACAUUUAGGCACAUCAACGUCAUGUCACUGUCGGAUUGUGAUCCAUCACAGUAACAAAAAGUCAGUUUAAUGCAAAGGAAAGGUGUUUCACCAAAGGCUUUCAAGCGAUUGCCGCUCCCACGUCUCUUCAAAAACCUCCCCCAGAAGACCAUCCAAACAAGGGAACAUUGCCCACUUACAGCGAUAUAGGACAGAGAAAUCAAGAUAAAGAUCUGAAUCAUGUCUUCAAACCUAACCUCUCUUGAGUCCAACCUGCUUUGCCAGCCCGGCUUCAGAACAAUCUCUCCCUAGGAGAAAAAUGCUUGGCAUUUUUAUUUGCCUCUGAAAUGCCUUGAACGUACUUCAGGUGAUGUAUUACAGCGCCGGGCGAUCUCAAAUUUGGUAACAGAAAACAGCCUACAAGGCAGAAGACAAGAUUCCAAAAACACAGAUUGCCCUGAGCGACCUCGCCCCAAAAAGAUAACACACAAACCUGUCGGACCCUCCAAGCAAAUGUGUCACCUUCCUUUCUACCGCGUAUUUGGAUAAAGGGACACAGUAUAGAUACAGCCACCCACCCAGGAACCGCUUUACAGAACAGAUAGAAAAAUGGAACCUACUUUGCAGCCAGAAUCAGGGUGGCCACCCAGAAAUAAUUUCACCAACUGGAUUGCGUUCAAGAAACAUCAGUUCGCUCUGUCAGAAGGAAACACCGAGGACAACAGGAGCCUGAACAGCUUUCAAGGUCUUUUCCUGGCGGGCAAAAGUUAAUUUAUGAAAAGAUCAGCCCAAGGUUAAGGAGGCCAAAUCCAAGUUGAAGGGGGGGGGGGGUGUUCCUGGAUCCAUUUAGACCAGAGGUCUGCCAAAUUCAGCAGUCAUUUUUCUGGAGGUGACGGUGCUUCCCUGUGGUCUUCAACGGCUGGGGAUUCUUGCAUCCAAUGGGGAAUAU
RNAcentral lists this long non-coding RNA (1169 nucleotides) under Pogona vitticeps (central bearded dragon). RNAcentral's name for it is "lncRNA (ENSPVIG00000003821.1)". The record is from RNAcentral. Lineage: Eukaryota; Metazoa; Chordata; Lepidosauria; Squamata; Agamidae.